CCUACGGGAGGCAGCAGUGAGGAAUAUUGGUCAGUGGCCGGAAGGCUGAACCAGCCAUGCCGCGUGAAGGUCAGUGCCCUAUGGGCGUUAAACUUCUUUUGUGCGGGAGCAAUAAUGGUCACGUGUGGCCAGACGAGAGUACCGUACGAAUAAGCAACGGCUAACUCCGUUCCAGCAGCCGCGGUAAUACGGGGGAUGCAAGCGUUAUCCGGAUUUUUUGGGUUUAAAGGGUGCGUAGGCGGAGGCACAAGUCAGCGGUAAAAUGGCGGGGUUAAACCCCGCGCCGCCGUUGAAACUGUGUGCCUUGAGUGCGCGAAGGGUAGGCGGAAUGCGUGGUGUAGCGGUGAAAUGCAUAGAUAUCACGCAGAACUCCGAUCGCGAAGGCAGCCUACCGGAGCGCAACUGACGCUCAUGCACGAAAGCGUGGGUAUCGAACAGGAUUAGAUACCCCAGUAGUC
Molecule: ribosomal RNA, 458 nt
Filed under: uncultured bacterium
Lineage: Bacteria
Description: partial 16S ribosomal RNA
Rfam family: Bacterial small subunit ribosomal RNA
Source: RNAcentral